RNAcentral lists this unclassified non-coding RNA (2516 nucleotides) under Hevea brasiliensis (rubber tree). Lineage: Eukaryota; Viridiplantae; Streptophyta; Magnoliopsida; Malpighiales; Euphorbiaceae. The record is from RNAcentral.
UUAGCCCUCCUGCUACGCUGAUGUCAACUCGACGUCAAGCAUUUAAAGAAAGAUUACAACAAGGCAUUUUUAAACCUGACAGCAUUGAUGUUUCUCUGGAGAGUUUCCCAUAUUAUUUAAGUGAUACGACCAAAAAUGUUCUGAUUGCAUCCAUGUUCAUUCACUUGAAGUGUAAUAAAUUUGUAAAGCAUGCCUCAGACCUUCCUAUUUUGAGCCCACGCAUACUGUUAUCUGGACCUGCAGGUUCAGAAAUAUACCAGGAAACUUUGACGAAGGCACUUGCUCAGCAUUUUGGGGCCAGAUUACUAAUAGUGGAUUCUCUUCUUUUGCCUGGUGGACCAACACCCAAGGAUGUUGAUGUUGUUAAAGAUAGCUCGAGGCCUGACAGGACAUCUGUUUUCGCUAAAAGAGCUGUGCAGGCAGCGGCGGCUGCUGCUGCUGCUGCUUCGCAGAACAAGAAACCUACUUCCAGUGUUGAGGCUGAUAUAGCAGGUGGAUCUACUUUAAGCUCGCAGGCUUUGCCAAAACAGGAAGCAUCCACGGCUUCAUCAAAGACCACUGCUUUUAAGACAGGUGACAAAGUUAAAUUUGUGGGUACUUUAUCUUCUGCGCUUUCACCUCCACUUCAAAGUUGUCCUCUCAGGGGACCCUCUUAUGGUUGUCGGGGGAAAGUUGUCCUUGCUUUUGAAGAGAAUGGAUCCUCAAAAAUAGGGGUGAGAUUUGACAAAUCAAUUCCAGACGGUAACGAUCUAGGCGGCCUUUGUGAAGAAGAUCAUGGCUUCUUUUGUUCUGCUAAUCAUCUACUUCGUUUGGAUGGUCCUGGAGGCGAUGAUACUGAUAAGCUUGCUAUUGAUGAAGUUUUUGAGGUUGUCUCAAAUGAGAGUAAGAACAGCCCGCUAAUAUUGUUUGUAAAAGACAUAGAAAAGGCAAUGGUGGGCCACUCAGAUGCUUACUCUAUUCUAAAGGGCAGGCUUGAAAACUUGCCGGGAAAUGUUGUUGUUAUUGGCUCCCACACCCAUAUGGAUAAUCGGAAAGAAAAGUCCCAUCCUGGUGGUCUUCUAUUUACCAAGUUUGGAAGCAACCAAACGGCGUUGCUUGAUCUUGCUUUCCCGGAUAAUUUUGGCAGAUUGCACGAUAGAAACAAAGAAACUCCAAAAGCGACAAAGCAACUUAGUCGGCUCUUUCCUAACAAAGUGACCAUAUUGCCUCCUCAGGAUGAGGCCUUGCUUUCAGAGUGGAAGCAACAAUUGGAACGUGAUACUGAAACUCUGAAAACACAGGCAAAUAUCGUCAGCAUCCGCUUGGUUCUCAAUCGAAUUGGUUUGGAUUGUUCUAACCUUGACACACUCUGCAUUAAAGAUCAAACACUAACACUUGAAACCGUUGAGAAAGUUGUAGGCUGGGCUUUGAGUCACCAUUUCAUGCAUUUUUCUGAAGUGUUGGUUAAGGAUGCUAAACUCAUCAUUUCUACAGAAAGCAUUGAGUAUGGGUUGAACAUUUUACAUGGUCUUCAGAGCGAGAACAAGAGCUUGAAGAAGUCACUCCGGGAUGUCGUUACUGAGAAUGAAUUUGAAAAGAAACUUCUUGCUGAUGUUAUUCCACCUGGUGACAUCGGUGUUACAUUUGAAGACAUUGGUGCUUUAGAGAAUGUGAAGGACACGUUGAAGGAAUUGGUGAUGCUUCCUCUACAGAGGCCUGAAUUGUUUUGCAAAGGGCAGUUAACAAAGCCAUGCAAAGGAAUUUUACUUUUUGGUCCACCUGGUACUGGAAAAACAAUGCUUGCUAAAGCUGUUGCAACUGAGGCUGGUGCGAACUUUAUCAACAUCUCCAUGUCAAGCAUUACUUCUAAGUGGUUUGGUGAGGGUGAAAAAUAUGUAAAGGCAGUGUUUUCUCUAGCAAGUAAAAUUGCUCCAAGUGUUGUGUUUGUUGAUGAGGUUGAUAGCAUGUUAGGAAGACGUGAAAAUCCAGGAGAACAUGAGGCUAUGCGCAAAAUGAAAAAUGAAUUUAUGGUGAAUUGGGAUGGGUUGCGAACAAAAGAUAAAGAACGUGUACUGGUACUUGCUGCCACCAAUAGGCCAUUUGAUCUUGAUGAGGCUGUGAUAAGGAGACUUCCUCGGAGAUUGAUGGUUAACUUGCCAGAUGCCCCAAAUAGAGAGAAGAUUUUGAGAGUUAUACUGGCCAAAGAAGAAUUGGCUGCUGACGUUGAUUUAGAGGCAAUUGCAAAUAUGACUGAGGGAUAUUCUGGAAGUGAUUUGAAGAAUCUGUGUGUAACCGCAGCACACUGCCCCAUCAGAGAAAUUUUGGACAAGGAGAAGAAGGAGAGAGUCUCUGCUUUGACUGACAACAAACCCUUACCUGCACUAUAUAGCAGCACCGACGUUCGUCCUCUAAAAAUGGAGGACUUCAGAUUUGCACAUGAGCAGGUGUGUGCGAGCGUCUCAUCAGAGUCAACAAACAUGAACGAGCUCCUCCAAUGGAACGACCUGUAUGGAGAAGGCGGGUCGAGGAAGAAGACG